Molecule: long non-coding RNA, 12196 nt
Organism: Brassica rapa (field mustard)
Lineage: Eukaryota; Viridiplantae; Streptophyta; Magnoliopsida; Brassicales; Brassicaceae
Source: RefSeq, a predicted model, not a curated record
UUUCUUUGAAUUUUUUAAAAUUUUGGAAUUAAAAAGAAAUGAAAAGUUUGGAAGAUUUUUGAUUUUUUAAAGAAAAACAAAAAUUUAAUUUUAAUUUUAAUUUCAAAAUAAUUUUAUAAAUUUUUUUAUUAUUUUUUCAAUUUUUUAGAAUUUUAAAGAUCUUUUAAAGUUUUUAGAAUUUUUUUUUAUAUUCAAUCAGUACUAAUAAAAUUAAAUGUGUUAAUAACUCAAUUGAAAGUGACAUUAGCCCAGUGGUAAAAUACCUUGCUAUAUAUACUAAUCAACCCGAGUUCAAAUCGAGGGCUUUAUUUCUUUUUAUUUUCAAAUCAUAUAAAACGACGACUCGUUUUGUUUAACGCUAACAUUUAACGUCUGCUUAACACUGUUUUAACUGUGGGUUCACGGUGUGCUAAAAUGGCUAGUCAAUCUUAAGUUGCUUAAUAAACAAAAAAAGUUAAUUAAAGUACAAUAUUUUUUUAUCAGAUUCGAGUACAGAUUUUUUUUGGCGAUUCGUGUAAAGUUCAUGUUUUUUUUGGCCGAAUUCGUCUUUUUAAACUCAGAGAUUUACCCUUUUUUUAAUGAGCCAUAGAGAGUUAAUUUAGACGUCUUACCCUUAUUAUGCUUUUUACCCUGUGCUUUGGAUUCUGUAAUCCACUCCCCUCUAGCCUCUAGGGGACUAGUAAAUGGACCCAUCAACUGAAAGUUGUCUUGUACCGUCCGUCGCAUGAACCAAAAGUGAGAAAAUUGUUAAAAAUACGUUAAUAUAAUUCGCCAUAUCUUUUUCUAAGUUUUUCAAAGUUGUUAAUUAAUAUUAUUGUGACAUGUGUCAAUUAAUUUAUUAAGAUUGUGACAUGUAUCAAAAAUAUAUUACAAUUCACUUUUGUUAGGAUUUAAAAAGAUUUAGAAAAAGAAAAUUAUUAUUACAUUUUUUUGAACACUAAAAAGGAAAAUUAUUACAAAAAUUUAGUUUAUUAUUCUUUUUUGGAGUUAAGCAAAGAAAAAUUACUAUCACAUAGCCUUUUACAAUAUAUUUGUAUGGCUCUUUUUAUAAUCUUUUAAAAAUAUUUGAUAGUAAAUUUAAUUUUUGAAAAUUCUAUAAACAAAGAAUACUGUGAAAAGCUAUUUGAAAGUAUUUUUUUUUCUUUUUAAAAUAUUUUUUAUAUUUUUCAUUUUAAAGAUACUAAAGAAAGAUAUUAUAAGAGAAAAUAUUUAUUUUUAAAAAAAUAAAUUAAAUAAAAACGAAUUAUAAAAUCCUACAAGUACAAGAAAUUAUUUAAUAAAAAUCAAAUAGAAAAACUAACUUUAAAAUAAGUGAUAUUCCUUUUUAAAACCUAAGAAAAUAAAAAAGUAAAAGUACUCUUAUUAUUUUCCUAUAAAUAAGUAACUUUCCUUUUUAACAGAUAAAUGUAUGCUACAAAAAUAUAAACCAAAAUAAAUAUUAUUUUCACAUCUAUAUUUAGGUUUAAGAUUCUUCAUAUUGUUUUCACAAAAUAGUAUUGACAAGAAAAAUAUUAUCUGAGUAUUUUGUUUUUAUUUCUUUAAACAACUCAAUUGUUUUAUCAUCCUUAUUACAUCUUAUGAUGCUAACACAAGUUUUUUUUUUUUGAUGUUUUUAUCGUACAUAAGUAUGUGUAAAUAUGAGGAAUGUAUGUUUGUAUGUAUAAGACACAAUAUAUAAUUAACUAAACAUAAUUUUUUUAUUGAAAAUAUAUUCGUUUUAUAAAAAUCUUAAAAAACAAGAACGAAUUAUAGUUGGAAUUUUCCUUUUUUUAUUUUUUUAAGUAGCUUAUUUCUUAUAAAUAACUAACUAUUUUUUAAUAGAAUUUUGUGUUGUAAAAUUAUAAACCAAAAAUAACUUCAAAUAUUUCACCUGAUAUGAUUGUGUCAUUUGUACAAAAAGAAACAUUGUGUACUUAUUAAUAAAAAUCUAUCAUUAUGUGAAAAUAAAUUUUUUUCCUAAAAUCCUAAAUAAAAGAAAUUUGAAAAUUAAUUUUUUCCUCUUUUAAUCUUAACCAAAUAAGAUUUUGUUUUCCUUUUAAAUCAUGACCAAAUAGAAUUGUAAAAGUAAUUUUUACUUUUAAAAUUUAAUGAUAAAUGUGAUAAUGAAAAUAUUUAAUUAAAAAUAUUAGUGAUUUUGAGAAAAUGAAUUUUGAAAAUAAUAUGAUAAUGAAAAUAUUAGUGAUAUUGAGAAAAUAAAUUUUGAAAUAGGAAGUUUUAAAAAUAGUUAAUAUUUGCUGGAUAUAAUUAUUUGAUAGUAUUUUUAUUUUCUAAAUCCUAGAAAAGAAUAACUAUAAAAGAUUAUGUAAUUUUAAUUUUCUUUUAUAACACCCAAAAAGUGUAAUAAAAUAUUUGAUAGUUUUUUUCCUUAAAAAAGAAAUCCUAAACAAAAGAGAUUUAUAUCAUAUUUUUUAAUUCCUAACCAAAAGAGAAUUGUAAGAAGUUAUUUUAUAGUGUAGAAAAUUUGAUGCUUAACAUGAUACUAAAAUUAUUUAAUUAAAAAUAAAAUGUAAAAAUAAUAUUGAUAUGAACUGUAAAAAUCAUAAUUUAAAAUUAUUUGAUAGUAACUAGAAAUAAUUAUUUGAUAGCAAUAAGAUUUUUCUGAAAUUCUAAACAGAAGAUAAUUGUAAAAGUUUAUAUGAUAAUAAUUUUUUUUCUAUAAUCCUAAACAAAAAUAAAAAAAAUUAUUUGAUAGUUUUUUUUUUAAUUUUAAAUAAAAACAAGAUUUAUAAAAUAGGAUUUUUUUCCUUUUAAAAAAAAUCCUAACAAAAGUAAACAUACGUAUUUAAUAGUAUUAAAAAAAAAAGAAUUUGAUGACCAGUAUGAUGAUAAAACUAUUAAAUUAACAAAAAUCAAAACUUAGGAUGUUGUCGUGAUUGGUAUCUAUGUGUUUGGUUAUACAAAAAUCAAACACAUGUUUGAUAUGUAUAUUUUCAUGUUUGUUCAUAAAAAUUUGAUAUUAUAUUGCCAUCGUACAUAUGUUUAGUCAAAAACAAAUCAAGCUUCAUCGUUAUCUUAUUUUAUUUUUUAAUUUUUACUAUGUAGUAGUUUAUAAUUCAUUUUAAUUAAAAUAUUAUUAUGAAAAUUUAUCAUUAAAAAAUCUUGAAUCAAGAAAAUUAUUUAACAUCAGAUAAGUUUAAUAAAACAUUAAAUUACUACAUAAGAAAGUGUAUAAUGUUGUCAUUGCUUCUUGGUCCUAUUUAACUUUCAAAUUCCUUUGAUUUCAUUAUAAUUCUUAUUAUUUUGGAUUGGAUCCGGUUUAAAUUUUUACGUUUGGAUGUUUUUUCUAACUCUAACAAAUAUUAACUGAAACUUAUGUGUGAAAACGAGUUCUUAACUAUAAAAUAAAUUUCACAUAAUAUAUGCAAAAAGAAUUUUAAAAUAAUAAUAAAAUGAUUUUUAAAUUUUUUUAUUAAAUUAAAAUAUUAAAUAAAGCCCGUUGCAAUGCACAGACCCAAGUCUAGUUAUACUAAUAAAUAUUAUGAACAAGACGUAUUCUCCGUUUCUUCAGAUGUGUUCCGUAACUUCGGAUUUAUUAACGUUCCUAUUGAUAAUUUUAAUAGUUUUCUUGUUAAGUAACGGUUGUAGUGAUCACGGAUCAACGUGACGACAUCACGUGCAUGGUACUCACGCAAUAUUUUUCUUUUAUUACAACUCACACAAUGUAUCAUGUUUAGUUUGUAUACUGAUCAAUUAUUUUUUCUGUUAGAUUUAAACGUUUAUAUAGCUAACUAAUACUCUCUCCAUUUCAUAAAGUUAUAUAUUCUAGAGAGAAAAAAUUGUUUCAAAAAGAUCUUUUUUUUUUAAUAUUUUCAAUACUUGUUUUAUUAACUAAUUACAAAUUUCAAAAACUUAAUUGCACUUAUUAGAUUUUUAUUGGUUUAAAAUUAUGGAAAAAAAGAUAAUCACAAAAAAUUAUGCAAAUUUAAUGUGUUUUAUUAAAAUAUGUGAAAAUCUAAAAUAUGUACUCCCUCCGUAUCAGUUCAACUGGUGUUUUAGGAUUUUGAUUUUGCUUCAAAAUAUGUGAUGUUCUCAUAAUUCUAGGUGAAAUUUAAUGUCAUUAAAAUUUUUUGAUCAAUUAUAAAAUACUGCAUAUUUUUCUUAUUGGUGGAAUUAGUUUUAUAUAAUUGUAUUUUAUGUUACCAAAGCCAAUUACGUAAAAGUUUUUUUUAAUAUUUGUGUAAAAACCUUAAACAAUUCUUAAAAUGAUAAAGAGGAAGUAACAUUUUGAAACUGAUUGAGUAUUAAAUUUCUAGUCAUGCAUAUGAUGAAAUUGAUUUUCAGUCUCAGAUCAAAAAGUAGUGACUAUUCGACGUAUAAAUCCGAUAUAGAGUUUUUUAAAUCCGACAUAUAGUUUAGAUUCAAAUAUCUUAUUCUGCUCGUUUAUGCUCUUGAGAAUGAGCUUGGUGGUAACAAAACGAGUACGAGUAACAACUUGGUUGUAAGUCAAAAAUGAAGUAAGCUAAACUCAUUAUUCGUCCAGCACUAUUGUUUUUAAGAAAAUACUUAUUAAAAUUGGUAGAAAAAUAUGCAGCGGGUAGUGGUAAUUAUUUUUAUUUCUGUUAGCUUUUGUUAUAUUUUAAUUGAUAUUUUUGGGUCACACUGCAUAUUGCCAACGUCAUUACGUCAACGUUUAUUUAUCCGUAAAAAGCUGAAAAAGAAACGGAAACGGUAGGCGCAAAGGUGAACCCCGUUGAAAAGUUGCUUAACUAUUUUUGGUGAGAAACGAAUAAAGAGCUCGAUAAACAAAACUAUUCACUGUCGUUUUUACAAACAAAAAUGAGUUUAUUUUUCCGAGAAAGCCGCAGAUAUAUUUUCUUUUCUCAUCUGAUUUGUUUCUUUUUGUUAGUCUGUCUUCCUCGACUAUCGUCUCCUCUUAUUUUGGUUACAACUAGGGUCGGACAUUUUAUCCAUUAAAUUUUAUUCAAUUCGAUUUGAAAAUUUUGGAUAUUCGUAAACUUUCAAAAUAAAGCAAAUACUAAAAAUUAAUAUUCGCUAAAACUGAAGUAAAUCACAAAUAUUAAAAUUUUGGAAAGCAGAUAUUUAAUCCGAUUCGGCAAUAUAUAAAUACAUGUAUAUUUUAAUAUAUUUAAAAAUUUUAAUAUAUAAAAUUAUAUAAUUAUUAUUCAAACAUGAUUUGAUAAAUUAUGUUCACACUAUUACUUAUAUAAAAAUAUUACAUAAAAAGAAGAGAACACAUUUAUGACAAUUAUAAUUUUUUUCUUAAGCUUUUGUUAUUAUAAUUGUUAACUAAGUUCAAAAAGUUUACAAAAUAUGUAGAUUCACUAGUUCUUUUAAUUUUUAUAAUAUAUAUCAUGAAAAAAAAUAUUUUACAGAACAAAUUUGUAUCAAAUUUUGAAGAUUAUUUGUAUUAAUCAAAACAUAUGAGAUAUCCGUAAAUAUUCGUAAAUAUCCGCAAAUAUCUAUUUAUUUUCCGGAUAUCCGUUUUUCGAAUAUCUGUAUUUUUCCGAAGCAAAGCAAAUCGAAAAAUUAAAUAUCCAUGACAUACGAAACAAAUCACAAAUACUUUAAAAAAUGCGGAUAUCCGAUCCGUGCCCAUGCCUAAUUACAACUCAUCUAGGGUUUUACUUUUAUGUAGUCUUUUUAAUCAAUCUCUCUCUUUCUCUCUCUCCAAUAAAUAUACUUCCACCUUCCCCCUUUCUCAUCAUUGAACCAUUCUAUUAAUUUCUGUUCUUUUCCUUUCACGAGGGUUUGGCAAAGAGUUUCUUACAGAUUUCUUUGGCAUUCUGUCCACCUCCUUUGUAUAUAAAUGUAAGUAUAUCGGUUGUGUGUGAAAGAAGGAGGUGGUCAUACUGCCAGUAGACAUCUGUUAGGGUUUCUUUGUAAAACCCUCUUGAUAUACAUUUUUUUUUAUUUUUUUGAUAUACAUGUAUUUAUAUAUUGCCGGAUCGGAUCAAAUAUCUGAUUUCCAAAAUUUUAAUAUUUGUGAUUUUCUCUUGAUAUACAUAUCUUUCAAUGUUUGGAAUCUGGUAAGCUUGAUCUGUUACAUAGCGAUGACAAGCCUCCUCUUGAUUCUAUCAUAUCUUUGAUUAUGUUGCUCCUUCUUUCUUUGAGUUUAUACAUUAUAGGGUCGUUUUAUUAUAUACAUAUGUUGAUCUAGAUCAUUACAUUGAUUUUUUUUUUUUGGUAAAACUUCUGUUACCUUUGGUUUUCCAGUUCCUCUAUCGUGUAGAACCUUUGAACUAUAUCGUCAUAACGUUGACUAGUGCGAUAUUUUGAUGUUUCGUCUUCUAGAAAAGGUUAAACACAAAGAAAAAGAGAAGGUCCCAGAAUUCCAAAAAGGUAACAGUUUUUUUUAACUUUUACAACGUAGUAAUAGGGAGAAAGGACAAGCAUCUUGUUUUGGAGUCUACAAUGUUAUUAUGAUGUUACCUUAUUCUAUUUGAAGUUUAAGAAACAGUAGUAGAGUUUACGAGUAUUCCUUCAUUUAGCAUCAUUUCUGACGUGACGUAUAUACAGUGUACAGGUUCGUAAGCCAUAGCUUGCUUGCUUCCUUUUUUUAUCAUGCAUGAGUUGAAAAUAAUUCAUAAUUUUCUUGCGUUUCCGCUAAGAUUUGUUAAUUGAUCAGAGUUAUUUAUCAUCAUUCUAGAGAAUAACACGCUAGUCGUACAGUUCUUUAUAUUUUUGUGUAUUUCAUCGAUAUAUCCGAUAAUUGCAUUGCUGAUUAGUAGAUGGAUGUAUUUUUUAGCAGUCUUGCUUAAGCCAUAGAUGAUAAAUUAAUCAGUCCAGGAGACCAAGUUUAAAGAGAUCUAGAUAGUUUGGUAUGUUCGGGUUUGCGUGAGGAUAUAUCACAAAAGAUCAUAAGUCUCCAACGAUCUGGGUUUAAGAAUUCUGAAUAAUGAGCUGCCCAACAAAAGAAACAUGUUCUAAGCAAGUAGCUUUUUUUUUUUUUUUUGCUAAAAUUUGGUGCAUAUAUUAUAAAAGAGGCAAAAGCAUACAUAAUGUGAGAAUAUUACAAUGCUCUAGUGGAUAAAGUUAGUAAAUUCAUUCUGAGCCCCACAUGGUUCUUGGUCUCGAGAGAGAGUAGCCCAAAGGAAAACAUGGGCUUAGGAGCUUUUGCAGUAGAAGAAAUAAAGCCCAGAAUCAAAAUAUUCGUUGUCUUCCUCAAUGAAGUAAUCGAAAGGUCUCACGGUAGAGAGAACCAGAGUUGCAUGCAGGCACUCGAUUCCAUUGGGUCAGUUUCACGGAGCGAUGAGAUACGGUUUUUGAUGGUGGAGGAGAUGGUUGAGAAUAUAGCUUCCUGCGACUUGAAGUGAGAUCGGUGGAGCCUAUUGUUGCGCUCACGCCAUAGUUCAUGAAUCAGCGUUUGCCAGGAUAGGAUUGUGAGAUAGCGCAACCGGUUAUCACCAGUGUAAUGGAUCAGACCUUGCAAAGUAUCAUCCCAAUCGUCUGAGAUAAUGGCAAAUUGAAGUUUUGCAGCAAGGUUUCUCCAAAUUCCAGAGGAGAAGGAGCAACCGAAAUAAAUGUGAUUUUUGCUCUCUGGAAGUAGGUUACACAGAAGACAGAGAGGAUCCGUCUGCAAUCCCCAAGACAGUAACCUAUCACGAGUGGGGCACCUAUUGAGUACAAACAUCCAAGAGUGGUACCCAGUCUGCUCCAUUCCGGCAUGUCCUCAUGUUCUGAGAGAGAUACAGUUGAUAGAAAAAUCUGGAUUUGCUCCAUCUCCUGAGAUCUUGCCGGACCUAUAUCCCAAGUUUCUCCAACCCACAGCGAAGCUAGAGAUGAAGAGAGGGGAAUACCAUACUGUCUCGGUCCAUUAUGACCAACAAACUUGAUGAGUUGGCCAAAUGGAGACCAUGGCGUUGUCCAGAAGAAGAUUGAAUUCCCAUUUCCUGGUAAUAUUCUCAUCCAAUUGAUUGCUGUAAUAUUAUAUUUUAAUCAAUAGUAGCAUUGGCUAGACAGAAAUAAAAAAGUUUAGAUAUGAGUUAAUUUAAGAACGCUUAUUUCUAUACAAUACAAUGCAAGUAGCUUUUGCAUUGUAUAGAAAUAAGCGUUCUCAAAUUAACUCAUAUCUAAACUUUUUUAUUUCUGUCUAGCCAAUGCUACUAUUGAUUAAAAUAUAAUAUUGCAGCCUUCGAUCGAUGAAUCUCUCGAACUUAUAACCUGUCGAAUUGUUUACAUAAACCGAGAAUGAUGUUGCUCUCUUACUUGACAAAGGAAUAGGUGAAAAGUGAAUAGUGUGGUGAUGAUCUCAUAGAAAUCUCACUUAUCAACCCUUAAAAUCCCAAAUCAUUGAUUGUUGUCUCAAGACUAUGAAAAGUUAUAAACGGGUAUUAUCAUACGAUUCGUGAGGCAGAACCAGUCUGCGGGUUUAAUGCAUUGGGGACCUUAGAGCAUAUGCAAUGGUGAACCUCACCAAUGAAUCCUUAGCAAUAUUUUAGUAAUUUUUUUUUUUUUUGGUUUUUGUUUGAAUAGUUAAGGAUUCGAAUCAAAACUGGUCGUCCAAUGGUGUUCCCGAAGAUGGGUCCUUAGAAAAAAAAAAUAUUUUUUAUUUUUUUUUUAAACUGAAAUUGAAAUUUUAUUAUUUGCAUGAUUAAAAAUAAAGAUACAAUGAUUAAACAUAAAGAUAUAAAGAUAAACUAAUUAGUAAUCUUCAUCACCAAAUUUGUUCCAAAUAUUUUCGAUUAAAUCAUUCUUCAAUCGUUCAUGCAUAUGCCUAUCACGAAGAUCAUUCCGAGUGGGAAACAUAUUAUUCAGAUUUGUAGGCCUCUCGGUUUCGACCUCUGAACUUCUGGUUACGUCUCCUUCUUCAAAUUCAGAUAUAUCGUAAUGAAUGUAUCCAUCUCGUUCAUUUUCGACUACCAUAUUGUGUAGUAUGAUACAUGCUCUCAUAAUCUUCCCUAUCUUUGCUUUGUUCAUUGUAAGAGACGGGUUUCUCACAAUCGCAAACCGGGAUUGUAGUACUCCAAAAGCCCGCUCCACAUCUUUUCGGGUUGCUUCUUGAACUUUAGCAAAUAACUCUUGUUUAGGACUUUGAGGGAGUGUGAUAGAUUGGAUAAAUGUUGACCAUUUUGGAUAUAUACCGUCUGUGAGGUAGUACGCCAACUUAUACGUGUGUCCGUCGACCACGUACUUUACCCUGGGGGCCCGACCUUCUAAAAUGUCAUCAAAAACAGGAGACCGAUCGAGGACAUUGAUAUCGUUUAAGGUACCUGGAGGACCAAAAAAAGCGUGUCAUAUCCAAAGAUCAUGUGAAGCCACAGCCUCUAAGACAAUCGUCGGUUUAGCUGAUCCACGUGCAUACUGCCCUUUCCAAGCGGUUGGGCAAUUCUUCCACUCCCAAUGCAUACAGUCAAUGCUUCCGACCAUCCCAGGAAAGCCCCGUUUUUCUCCAAUAUCGAGCAGUCGUUGGAGAUCCUCUGGUGUGGGUCUUCGUAGAUACUCUUCUCCAAAUAAUUGUAUUAUUUCGUCAGUGAAAUGGUGUAAACACGAAAGUGCCGUGCUUUCACCAAUUCGGAGAUAUUCAUCCACUGUGUCAGCCGCAGCACCAUAAGCAAGCAGACGAAUAGCUGCUGUACAUUUUUGCAGUGGAGAAAGGCCUAACCUGCCGGUUGCAUCUCUUCUUUGUUGAAAGAAUGGAACGUUCUCUGAGAGGCCAUCGACAAUACGCAUAAAUAAUUCCUUAUUCAUGCGGAACCGGCGUCUGAAUAAUUGUGGGGAGAAUGUAGAAUCUUCGCUGAAGUAGUCAUUCCACAAACGGUUGUGUCCUGCUUCACGGUUGCGUUCUAUAUAAGCACGUCUCCUUUGCUUAUUGGUACGGGACCCGACUAUUUCAUUGUAUGUAUCUUCGACGAUUUCUUCGAAAAUUUCAUCCAGUCUUUCUUCGACUUCAUCGGAUGAAGAUGACGACAUUUCUACAAUGUUUUCAAUUUUUUAAAGGUUUUAAAUAUAUUUCCACAAAGUUUUCAUUUUGUUUUUAAGUUUUAAAGAUCUUUCACAACGUUUUCAUUUUUUUUUUUAGUUUUAAACAUCUUUCUAUAUGGUUUUCAUUUUUAUUUCUAGGUUUUAAAGAUCUUUCUAUAUGGUUUUCAAUUUGUUUUUAAGUUUUAAAGAUCUUUCACAAGGUUUUCAUUUUUUAAAUAGUUUUAAAGAUCUUUUUCAAGGUUUUCAUUUUUUUUUAAAGGUUUUAAAGAUCUUUCUAUAUGGUUUUCAAUUUGUUUUUAAGUUUUAAAGAUCUUUCACAAGGUGUUCAUUUGCUAUUCGGUUUUAAAGAUCUUUCAUAAGGUUUUCAUUUUUAAAAAAGUUUUAAAGAUCUUUCUCAAGGUUUUCAUUUCUUUUAAAGGUUUUAAAGAUCUUUCCACCACAAGGUUUUCAAUUUGUUUUUAAGUUUUAAACAUCUUUCUAUAUGGUUUUAAUAUAUGGUUUUAAAGAUCUUUCUAUAUGGUUUCAAUUUUUAUUUUUAGGUUUUAAAGAUCUUUCCACACGGUUUUCAUUUUUUUUUUAAGUUAUAAAGAUCUUUGCUAUUCGGUUUUACAAGUUUAAGAUUAGUUUCAAUAACAGAUUGGUAAAGGAGAAAUGUUUGUGUUACCUAAUAAGUGAAGCAGCAGUUUGUACUUGUUGCAAGUUCGAGUACUAGGAAAAGAUUACAACACCUAGAUAGCAAGAUAUUACAACACCUUCGAGUAGUAGCAACCAAAAUAAAGGAAAGAAGAAGUAGUUGAGAGUAAACAAAUGAGAUAGGUAGCAAUAAAAACAUCAUCCAGUCGUGAAGUUUUAUAGAACAUAGAGUGAUACAGUAGAACCCGUGAGUUGGCUCACAUGAAGCUAGACAACAAAACACCUUUUUCUUGCAGCACCCGUGCCUUCACAUGUCAUACUGCUCAACCUGAAAUGACAAAAAAAGGCAACAGUUAGAGAAGUGUACAAUACAAACAAACGACAUGAGAUCAACUAAUCAAAUGAGUAACAAAACUACCCAACAUCUCAGACAUUAGUUUGAGUUUAAGAGAUGUUUCCAUCUCAGUGAGCGGCUCUUUCUUGCCAAGUAAACGUUCAAGCAGUUUCUGUUUAGAAAGUUUUUCUUCCACUGCCAUGAUGGACUGAAUCUUUGACAAAUCCUCCUCUUUACCACUCUUCUUCCUCUUAGAAGCAGCUUUAGCAGCCUUGACGCCCACGGGUCGUGCCUCCGGUUCUCCCACUUCGUCUUCUGUAUCCACCUCCAGCACUUGUUUGCGCUUCUCCUUACCAGCGUGAUUAGACGGAUAGGUUGAGCACCACUUCUGGUCGUGCCUCAGCUCCCUCCAUCCAUGUUCCACACCGAACUUGUAACCGUGAUCAUUGUAGAAGUUCUCAAGUGCAGCUUUCAUCACAUCAUCAUCAUUUUGUCCACUUCUCUGCUCCCUCAGAGCCGCAUCAUAGCUCCCAACGAACUUGGAGACUUGCUCGUUAAUCCUAGCCCACCUCUGCUUGCACUGACCAAGCUCUCUAGGUUUUGUCCCAACGAGUUGAGGACUUGCGUUGUAGUAGGCAACAAUCCUCUUCCAGAACUGUCCUGAUUUCUGCUCAUUGCUCACCACCGCAUCCUUACUGGUGUUAAGCCAAACCCCAAUAAGUAUUUUAUCCUCCUUCAUAGACCAUUUGCUCCUCUCCUUCCCACCAGACUCGACCCCAGACUCGAUAACAGGCUCGACAACAGGCUCCUCAGGACCUUGACUACCGAACCAAAAAGGUUCAGGUGAAUCAAGGUCAACUGAAGAUUGAGAUUGACUAAACAGGAGAUUAACAUAACUAGUGUUCUUAUCCAUGGUUAGAAAAGUGUAGUGUGUCACUCUAAGAGCAACACAUAUCCUUAAGUAGGCGCACUUGAAGUUAGCAAAAUUAAAAUCAAUGCAAACCGAGCAGUUGGGAAGGUAGAAAGCAAACUAGUUGCAUUAAACACCUAUCAAAUCAGAGUUAACCCGAGUUCCUAACGUUGUAAAACAUUUAAACCAAUCACAUCUAAGGCGGUAGGAAGCGGAAAGCAAAAAAAGAUGCAUUUAAACGCAAUAGAUUGUAAGUUUUCAAAUUUUUACACUACUAUACGUUUUAUAUAAUGCAUAGCAGUAGUCAUAGACCCCUAUAACUAGGAAAUAGGAGUAUUGUACCUUAUUAUACAGACACUCCACCGGUUUUAGACACUCGCUUUUACUUCUUUGAAUCUCUUCCUGCAACAACAUGAGAUCAAACUGUCACAAUUUUU